UGCGUAACACGUGAGAAAUCUGCCCCGAACUUCGGAAUAACAGUUGGAAACGACUGCUAAUACCGAAUGACGUCGGAGAACCGCAUGGCUCACUGACGAAAGGAAAUCCGGUUUGGGAGGGUCUCGCGGCCUAUCAGCUUGUUGGUGGGGUAAUGGCCUACCAAGGCAACGACGGGUAGCUGGUCUGAGAGGAUGAUCAGCCACACUGGAACUGAGACACGGUCCAGACUCC
This 232-nucleotide ribosomal RNA is filed under the name uncultured bacterium. RNAcentral describes it as "partial 16S ribosomal RNA". It matches the Rfam family "Bacterial small subunit ribosomal RNA", at positions 107 to 339 of the family's 1533-position model. The record is from RNAcentral.